UACGUUCUGUUUUAGAAAAGAAGAGCGAAUCGGGUUCACGAGGAGGAUUCUUUGACGGUGGACCAACAUCCACCCCAUACAGAUGGUCUCCCCCGUAAAUAGUGGCUCUACCAUCGCGUUCCAACCGAGAUAUCGAUCCAAGUUCCUAUCUCACCCUCGAUCGAAUUGCGUUCCAAAAAUUUCUUUCAUACCAUUCCGUCUUCUAAUCACUAUCCUUCAGAAUUAUUAACAUAAUAUAGCCGUAAUCUAACUUCCUUCGCGACAAGUGGGCACGUCGUACAAUUUCAUUUGCUCUUUUAGAGAUCGAUAGUAGAUCGACUAGCUUUUCUAUUCGGUUCGUGGCAUAUUACUGUUUGUUUAUUUUAAGUCCCAGGCGUAUCUUGUUUCGGAACCAGACCCAACUGACCGCAGCCUGGCAUCGUUUUCUCGUUUUAUUCUCUUGCGUUACACGUCGACCUGGUAUCGGUGGCGUGAAUUAAGCGAGAAAAAUCGACACCGUGAGGCGGAUGCGCGCAGUUUCCAGAACGAUCGGCCCGAUUUUUUGGAAUUAACCAAACGAUCAAGAUGCCCAAAUUGUCUGGUCCAUCGGAGCUAUCUGUUUCUGUAUGAAUCCAACUUUUAAGAAAUUUAUGGACAAAAUCUUGGAAGUUUCGUGCUUUCUCUAAACUAAUAUUUUAAGCUGCAGUUGCGAAAACCGUUUUGUGUACUAAAGAAAGGAAGGUAUUUGGUAUUUGGUAGCUUUGACUGAAAAGGACCACUUUUUUUUAAAGUAAGAAUGGAAGGAUUCCUAUGGAUAUAGCAACAGGAACGUGACGAUAAUAGAAUUUUAGAUGCGUCUCGAUGCCUCACGUUGCUAGCCUCGCAUCGAAAUCCCCGAGCCACCCUCAACGCGAAAAAACGGUACAGUUGCAUGCUCAGAUUAUAGUAUGCCCUCCUAUAGAAAUAUGUGACAGAGUACUUGACGUAAAAAGAAUUAAACACUUUUCGUAACAUAAAUUAAAGUUGAAUGAAAGAAAGAGAGAUUCAUUUGGAAGAAGUAUGUAAUUGCAAUUCUACCUACACACAACUUCAUUUUUAAACGGUUCUAUAAUUUGGAAAUUUUGUUUACAUGAAAAAAAGGUAAGAAGUUUUCACGAAAAGAAAUACAAAGGAAUUGCCAAAAAGUCACUUUUUCAUUAUCAUUGACCAAACGGAUCAAUGAUACGGUCAGAAAAUCUCCAUAGCACAGAUCAUAUAACAAUGCACAAAUUUUAACAACUCUGAAAUUCUUUUACCUGUCAUUAAAGCUGAUCAUAUCCUACAGGAUGCUCUUACUCUCAGACGCCGUAGAAGAGAAGUGGAAGACAACUCAUCGGUCCUCUAUCAUAGCCAGUCACCACUGUAAACACCAGCACAUGCACUGAGGAGGUAUAUACAGUCCUCCGAAUAUUGAUAUCAGUCCUCAAAAUCGAAUGACGAACGCGGGAUCACCGGCGAUCGCGCACUGGAUGUAGCUUGUACGUGUCGACGCCGAUGCAUUCGACGAAAACCAUCACUAAAACCCCCGUGACGUGUGGAACUGCUAUAGAUCCUGGAAAUGAUCGAAAGGAGAAGCAACGGGCGUAAAAUUGACAAAUGGAAAUAAACAUGGGAAACGAGGAAGACACGCGAGAACGUCGACGAGGAGAGCCACGAAGGUUCACAACGAGCAUGGGACUCUGGACACGACUGAUCGAGUGACCGAGGGGGUAGCAUUGUAAGAAUACCCCUCCUCGUGUGCUUGUAUAGAAUUACGUGUGUUGAUCGCACAUACAGCCUGAUACAGCUCUCUCCGUCCCCUUGGUUCGCGGCAAAAGGGAGCACGAAGGGAGAAGAGUGGCUCUCCGUUCUCCCUUCCCCUCCGUUGCCUCUCCUACAGCCUUUCACCGUGUGUAUACCCACCCCUGCGUACCCCUGUCCCCCGGCCCCCUUCGAGGCGUCCUCUCUCGCGUGCGUGAAUCAUGCAUAUCGAUUUUCUUUCGUUAGUACGUCGUUCGGUAGUCGUUGCCCGGCUGUGUACGCCUCUGACGAUGCGUUUCCCCUCUUCUUUCGCGCGGAGAGAGCCCGGGGGCCGACCGCUGCUCUGGAACCCCUUCUGAAAAUGCGCUAGACGCACCACCGCUAAUUCUUUUCGCCACAAUGGAUAGAGGAGGUUCGUUUUCAGCGGCCUGGUGGCUGAACCCAUGAUCUGGAUUGGAUUGGAGGUUCCGGGUUCGGGAGGUUGGGGAGGAUGGGGUUCUUAAGAGGAUAAGAGGUCCCUCCAACCCUCUACUAGAGUAAUCUGCAUCAAAAACGUUUAAGACGAUCGUCAAUAGGAGAACUAUUAAGAGAAAUUCAAGGAAGGAAGUUGAUGAUGAGGAGGCUGAUGAACGAAGAGAAAUUUGUAAGGACUAAAAUGGCCCGGUCUGGUCCGGCCCCCACCCCUUCUUCGGAAGCUGAAAGCCCUCAGAGAGACCCCCUCUUUCCGCUCGGGCAAAAUGUCCCCGUAUGAGACGAACAACGAUGUGAACGAUGAGACGAUGCUCUUGUACCCGGCCCCCUCUUUUUUUUCCUAAUAUACGUCCCCUAGUCUCGCAGCAGCAGGCCUUCGAUAAUAAAGUUUCUUUGUUUUUGCUCA
Long non-coding RNA from Bombus impatiens (common eastern bumble bee), 2635 nucleotides. RefSeq lists it as uncharacterized. NCBI's taxonomy places the organism in Eukaryota, Metazoa, Arthropoda, Insecta, Hymenoptera, Apidae. The record is from RefSeq and is a predicted model, not a curated record. The transcript is spliced from 3 exons.